Molecule: ribosomal RNA, 360 nt
Filed under: uncultured bacterium
Lineage: Bacteria
Description: bacterial SSU rRNA
Rfam family: Bacterial small subunit ribosomal RNA
Source: RNAcentral
GAUGAACGCUGGCGGCGUGCCUAACACAUGCAAGUCGAACGAACCAGAUUCGGAUUCUUCGGAUGACGGAGAUGGUUAGUGGCGGAUGGGUGAGUAACACGUAGGUGACCUACCCCGAUGUGGGGAAUAACCAUUGGAAACGAUGGCUAAUACCCCGUGUGAUCGACGAUUCGAUUUGUCGAUUAAAGCUUCGGCGUGUCGGGAGGGGCCUGCGGCCCAUCAGGUAGUUGGUAGGGUAAUGGCCUACCAAGCCGAUGACGGGUAGCUGAUCUGAGAGGAUGAUCAGCCACACUGGAACUGAAACACGGUCCAGACUCCUACGGGAGGCAGCAGUGGGGAAUUUUGCGCAAUGGACGAAAG